UGCGUAGGCGGCUUUUUAAGUCGGAUGUGAAAUCCCUGAGCUUAACUUAGGAAUUGCAUUCGAUACUGGGAAGCUAGAGUAUGGGAGAGGAUGGUGGAAUUCCAGGUGUAGCGGUGAAAUGCGUAGAGAUCUGGAGGAAUACCGAUGGCGAAGGCAGCCAUCUGGCCUAAUACUGACGCUGAGGUACGAAAGCAUGGGGAGCAAACA
This 207-nucleotide ribosomal RNA is filed under the name uncultured bacterium. RNAcentral describes it as "partial 16S ribosomal RNA". It matches the Rfam family "Bacterial small subunit ribosomal RNA", at positions 568 to 774 of the family's 1533-position model. The record is from RNAcentral.